This 527-nucleotide ribosomal RNA is filed under the name uncultured bacterium. Its description in RNAcentral is "bacterial SSU rRNA". It matches the Rfam family "Bacterial small subunit ribosomal RNA", at positions 980 to 1509 of the family's 1533-position model. The record is from RNAcentral.
CUUGACAUCCAGCGAACUUGGCAGAGAUGCCUUGGUGCCUUCGGGAACGCUGAGACAGGUGCUGCAUGGCUGUCGUCAGCUCGUGUUGUGAAAUGUUGGUUAAGUCCGCAACGAGCGCAACCCUUAUCCUUUGUUGCCAGCGAUUCGGUCGGGAACUCAAAGGAGACUGCCGGUGAUAAACCGGAGGAAGGUGGGGAUGACGUCAAGUCAUCAUGGCCCUUACGAGUAGGGCUACACACGUACUACAAUGGCGCAUACAAAGAGAAGCGACCUCGCGAGAGCAAGCGGACCUCAUAAAGUGCGUCGUAGUCCGGAUCGGAGUCUGCAACUCGACUCCGUGAAGUCGGAAUCGCUAGUAAUCGUGGAUCAGAAUGCCACGGUGAAUACGUUCCCGGGCCUUGUACACACCGCCCGUCACACCAUGGGAGUGGGUUGCAAAAGAAGUAGGUAGCUUAACCUUCGGGAGGGCGCUUACCACUUUGUGAUUCAUGACUGGGGUGAAGUCGUAACAAGGUAAGCGUAGCGAG